GACGAACGCUGGCGGCGUGCUUAACACAUGCAAGUCGAACGGAAAGGCCCCUUUGGGGGUACUCGAGUGGCGAACGGGUGAGUAACACGUGAGUAACCUGCCCUUGACUUCGGGAUAACUUCAGGAAACUGGGGCUAAUACCGGAUAGGAAUCCUUGCUGCAUGGUGGGGGUUGGAAAGCUUCGGCGGUUUUGGAUGGACUCGCGGCUUAUCAGCUUGUUGGUGGGGUAGUGGCUUAUCAAGGCUUUGACGGGUAGCCGGCCUGAGAGGGCGACCGGCCACAUUGGGACUGAGAUACGGCCCAGACUCCUACGGGAGGCAGCAGUGGGGAAUAUUGCACAAUGGGCGGAAGCCUGAUGCAGCAACGCCGCGUGCGGGAUGACGGCCUUCGGGUUGUAAACCGCUUUCAGCAGGGGCGAAGCUUGUGGUGACGGUACCUGCAGAAGAAGCACCGGCUAACUACGUG
RNAcentral lists this ribosomal RNA (465 nucleotides) under uncultured bacterium. Its description in RNAcentral is "partial 16S ribosomal RNA". It matches the Rfam family "Bacterial small subunit ribosomal RNA", at positions 28 to 507 of the family's 1533-position model. The record is from RNAcentral.